Molecule: long non-coding RNA, 802 nt
Organism: Triplophysa rosa
Lineage: Eukaryota; Metazoa; Chordata; Actinopteri; Cypriniformes; Nemacheilidae
Exons: 3
Source: RefSeq, a predicted model, not a curated record
GUUUAAAUGUUUAGCUGUCAGUUCUGUGUGAUAUCAGUGCAAAUCCUUAGGUAGCAUGUUUUACAUAACAAACUUCACCUUAAACCACGGUGCGUGUUCAAGUGUGCAUUUUUACCGUAAACAAAAUAGAUUCACGUGUUGCUACUCCACAUGCCCUUGCUGUCACAAAACUAGAAGUUUUGAGAGUACAGAAAUGGUUGCUCAGAGGAUGUGAAAGGCAUGAUUCUUCUACCUCUCUCCUGUUUUGAUGAGAAAGAGGAGCUCCUCCAUUAUGUAGAAGAGACAAGCCUGGCAAAGGAUGUGGAGUUAGAAAACCUGCCUGUGACGCCUUGCAUUAUUGUGUGUGUGGACCCUCCUGCUAUGCUGCUGUCCGAUUCAUGCUAGCUGUGGACCGCAAGAUUGUGAAUGAUGACAUCACUUCUUUCAUCUCUGCUGUUUGCCUAAUGUUCUGCAGUUAUUACUGCUCCAAAAUUAACUACCCUACUGAACUGGCGUCAGUGCUUGAAUUCCUGCAAAGGUGUUUUUUUCAUCAUCAAUCCGGAGAAAGGGAAUAAAGGAGGUGGAAAAGAAAAACAAAAAGCUACUCCCAGUCUUCACCCUAAUCGCUGACCUUUCUGAUCAUGAAUGGCGAGAGACUUUGUAAAGGUGGUCUGCAGACUGUUUCCAAGUUUAUACUCGGGGUGAGAGACUUUGUAAAGGUGGCCUACAGACUGUUUCCAAGUUUUAAUCUCUUAAAGGGUUAUUUCAGGCUUGAAUCAAAUUUUCCCCAUGUUUUACUUACCCUCAAGGCAUCCUAAGUGAA